RNAcentral lists this long non-coding RNA (1499 nucleotides) under Callithrix jacchus (white-tufted-ear marmoset). RNAcentral describes it as "lncRNA (ENSCJAG00000069590.1)". Lineage: Eukaryota; Metazoa; Chordata; Mammalia; Primates; Cebidae. The record is from RNAcentral.
AUGAUCAUAAGUCACUGCAGCCUCAACCUCCCGGGCUCAAUGAAUCCUCCCAGUUCAGCCUCCCCAGUAGCUGGGACUACCAGAUCAAACCAAUAUAAAUCAUCGCAUGUAUUGAUGGAUGGAUCGUGUUUCCCUAAAUGCAUAAAAGCUAGCUGUACCCCGACCAUCAUGGGCACAUGUCCCCAGGACCUCCGGAGUCUGCAUCAUGGGCGUGUCCUUAAUUUUGGCAAAAUAAACUUUGUAAAUUGACUGAGAUCUGUCUCAGAUACUUUUGGGUUCACACCUAAUUGUUUCAUGUUUUACAGUUGGCUUGUUCAAAUCAGGACCCAAACAAUGUCUACACAUGCAUUUGGUUGAUAAGUCUCUUAAAUCUGUUUUAAUUUAUGACUUGCUUCCAUCUGCUGUGGGUCCCCACCCACCACACCCUGUACCAGGAUUACAUUUUGAGACAAUCUUUCCAAGCCUUGUGAACACACAGUUUUCCAAUUUCAAUUAAUGACUCAUCUCUCCUGCUAAACAAAUAACAACAUAAUGAUCUCUCCUGCUAAACAAAUAACAACAUAAUGGACCACCUUCUUUUUUUUUAAUUUUAAGGGUUUUGGUUUUUUUGUUUUUUUUGGCUGAGAGAGGGUCUCACUGUAUUGCCCAGACUGGUCUUGAACUCAUGGCCUCAAGCCAUCCUCUCUCCUUGGCCUCCCAAAGUACUGGGAUUACAGUACUUUGGGGAUUAUAGGCAUGAGCCAAUAUGCCUGGCCUAGAUCCCCUUCUUUAAGAUGUAACUUUAAGAGGUACCCUUUUAAAGUAUUAACACUUAUCAACAAAAUAUAGUCUGAUUACACCUUAUACUGGAGGAUAUAGAAGUCAAUUUCACACAACAGUUGCUAUAACACUUUUUUAAAACUCUACUAUCAGGGGAUGUUUCACAAAAGUGAAUAAAUAUUUUGCUCCAUUGACAAUGCCUUUGCCAUAGCUUUUAAAUAAUUAAUAUGAAGUGGGAAAAUGUUUCAGAGGCAAUACACAUCAGUGACAUCCUAGUGAUGGUACCCCUUCUCCCUAGACCUCCUUAAGGUUACUUUUAUAUUCUUCUCUCUAUGAACCGGUGUAAAACUAAUAGCUUCACAGGAAAAAUCUCACUGAGACCUCUUGGCAAGUUUCCCCCAAGCUGAGUCGCAUCUGUGGAGAACUGGUGUGAAGUGAAAACACAGGGAGUAACAGAUAUCUGUGAAUUUAUUUUGGUCAACUUGACGCUAUUAACUGCAGGCCUUGACGGAAAUGCUGUCAACCCUCCUCCCUAGUCUGGCUUCCUUGCUUAGGACCCAGGAGGAAGCCCAUUCUCAAGGUCUGUUUACUCUUCAAACCUGGUUCCCCUGGGCUUGCACCUCACCCCUGAACUUAACACCUGAACAGGCAAAGUUUUGCACUGUAAAUUUGGAGGUGUGAGUCUCAUUAUUGCAUUUCCUGUGGUGCACGCCUAGGAUUUGUCCAGCGCUGGAACAGGC